RNAcentral lists this unclassified non-coding RNA (1975 nucleotides) under Leishmania donovani. Its description in RNAcentral is "gene:LdHU3.26.1830(CDS-product:hypothetical_prote in)". The record is from RNAcentral. Lineage: Eukaryota; Euglenozoa; Kinetoplastea; Trypanosomatida; Trypanosomatidae.
GAGUCCAGCGCGUCACAGAUACCACACAUAAACUCUCUUUCUCUCUCUGCAAAAUCACUUCGCGGUGUCUUUCAUCGGUCCGACCGUUCCCACUUCUACCUGCGUCGCCUCCCUGUCACUCUUGCGCACUCAUCUCAUCAGCGAGCGUGGACUUCUUCUUUUCGCCUUGCUGCAUUUGGUUUUGGCGCGCGCCUCUGUGACUGCUCCCUCUCAUCACACCAUACUUCUCUGUGCGCGCCCCCCCCCUCCACCCCGCCGAAGCUCCACCUCAGACCUGAGCAAACGUUAUGCACACGCACAAGCUUGUAUGCACAAACCAAGGCUAGCUGCGAGAGCGGCGUCUUUGGCUCACCUCCUGCUCGCCUUUGUCGUCGUUGGUGCUCUCUCUGUCCUUCUCUGUUGCGCGUCCGCCGACGCCCUUCGUGUAAGAGUCCCACACGCAACCAUCGCAGGUCACCCAAUGCCGCCGAGUGGGCAGGAGGACCAGCAGGCGGUGAGUGAGCCAAAGCCGGUGUCUCCCAGUGACCUCGAGCGCAUGAGGGCCGAGAGCAACGAGAUCUGGCGCAACCGCCCCCGUGCGAUCCCGAGAGAAAGCGAUGGAGCUUUUAAGCUUGCGGAGCAGCGCGUGUGUCGACUUCCGAACGGAGGUGUUUCAGCUGGCGUCCUUGAGCAACUCCAGCGUAACCGUGCGCAACGCGAAGCCGAGAAAAGAGAAAAGGAGGAGCGUGAGAGGAAGGCAGAGGAACAGCAGCGCGAGCAGAACAAAGAGCUGUAGCGAAACAAAAAUGUGCUCAUGGGGUCGGCAGAGGACGCCUUGGCAGCAUAAGCGGCAACAGCGGCACUAUAAAAGCCAGAUCGGAACCCGAGGGACACCUUUCACUGUGGCCCACUUCCUUGAGCACUGCCACCCAGUCCGCUGUGUGUCGGUGUAUGGGCUCUCUCCCUCUUGUACACUGCGGACGUUCUCCCUCGUGGCUUCAUCUGUACAAAAUGGUUGGCGCUCGUUUUCUUCUUUUACUUUGUCCCUUCCCGUGUGCACGCGCUCUUUCUCUAUCUUCUGUUACCCGCAAGUACAUGAGUGUGCGUAGUCGAAUGUGCGCAUGAUAUCGGCUGGCCGUGUUGACGUACAGAGGCACGACGGCACGAUAUCGGUAAUGAGGGGGUAGCACGGGACGACGGCAAGAGAGAAGUAAGUGGUGACCGCGGCUUCCCCCCUGCUCCCGCAAGCUCUCUCUCUUUUCCUUCGUCUUGUUCUUCCAAGUCCUGUUACCCACCCCACCCACACACACACACACAUACUCGCUCGCUCGCUCUCUCGUUGGCGUCGCUCUCAUCAUUCAUUUAUUUGCUUUUUCCUGUCUAUCAUUCUACCCUUUUCUAUUUGUUUUUGAUGGUUCAUGUCGCACUCCCUCGUUCAGCUCAUUGGGACACACUUGCACACGCACACACAACCACACACGCAUUCUACACCUUGUUGUGCUCCAUUGUUUUCCCCCUUUUAUUAGUGUCCUCCGCCUCUUUAUGUUCUAGGAUGCUCCCUCGACAAGCCGCGCACAUGAGCUCUACUCAUCCGAGCGUUGUCCACCGCCAUGAUCCCCUCCCCCACACGCACGCGCACACGUCUGCCCAGCCCCUCCAUCUCUCUCUCGGGCAGCUCGCUUCGUUUCGUUUCUUCGCGCUGCUUUACUUUUCGCCUGUAUUCGGCCUCUCCCCCUCACUCCUCCUUCCCUCUCCGUGCACCCUUGUAUAAGCAAAUGUGUAUCGAUCUACAUCUAUACAUGUGUGUGUGUGUGUGUGUGCGUGUGCGUGUGCGCCAGUCAGCGUGUUUCGGAGUUGAGGAAGACGGAACGAAAGAAAAAAAAAACACCCAUCGGAUGGCUCAAACCACGCAUACACACAGACACACCAAACAUAGGGGCGCGGGAUUGCAGGGAGCGGCACACUCCGCAAACGGCGCGGUUACACGGGCAGGGGA